This 76-nucleotide transfer RNA is filed under the name Oscillospiraceae bacterium. RNAcentral's name for it is "tRNA-Phe". It matches the Rfam family "tRNA". Rfam says of the family: Transfer RNA (tRNA) molecules are approximately 80 nucleotides in length. Their secondary structure includes four short double-helical elements and three loops (D, anti-codon, and T loops). The record is from RNAcentral. Lineage: Bacteria; Bacillati; Bacillota; Clostridia; Eubacteriales; Oscillospiraceae.
GCCUUUGUAGCUCAGUCGGUAGAGCAAAGGACUGAAAAUCCUUGUGUCGGCGGUUCGAUUCCGUCCGAAGGCACCA